RNAcentral lists this transfer RNA (70 nucleotides) under Zanclus cornutus (moorish idol). RNAcentral's name for it is "tRNA-Ile". It matches the Rfam family "tRNA". From Rfam's summary of the family: Transfer RNA (tRNA) molecules are approximately 80 nucleotides in length. Their secondary structure includes four short double-helical elements and three loops (D, anti-codon, and T loops). The record is from RNAcentral. Lineage: Eukaryota; Metazoa; Chordata; Actinopteri; Acanthuriformes; Zanclidae.
GGAGUUGUGCCUGAAGUAAAGGGCCACUUUGAUAGAGUGAAACAUGGAGGUUAAAAUCCUCCCAGCUCCU